UGGGGAAUAUUGCGCAAUGGGGGGAACCCUGACGCAGCCAUGCCGCGUGAAUGAAGAAGGCCUUCGGGUUGUAAAGUUCUUUCGGUAUUGAGGAAGGUUGAUGUGUUAAUAGUACAUCAAAUUGACGUUAAAUACAGAAGGAGCACCGGCUAACUCCGUGCCAGCAGCCGCGGUAAUACGGAGGGUGCGAGCGUUAAUCGGAAUAACUGGGCGUAAAGGGCACGCAGGCGGUUAUUUAAGUGAGAUGUGAAAGCCCUGGGCUUAACCUAGGAAUUGCAUUUCAGACUGGGUAACUAGAGUACUUUAGGGAGGGGUAGAAUUCCACGUGUAGCGGUGAGAUGCGUAGAGAUGUGGAGGAAUACCGAAGGCGAAGGCAGCCCCUUGGGAAUGUACUGACGCUCAUGUGCGAAAGCGUGGGGAGCAAACAGGAUUAGAUACCCUGGUAGUCCACGCUGUAAACGCUGUCGAUUUGGGGGUUGGGGUUUAACUCUGGCGCCCGUAGCUAACGUGAUAAAUCGACCGCCUGGGGAGUACGGCCGCAAGGUUA
RNAcentral lists this ribosomal RNA (547 nucleotides) under uncultured bacterium. RNAcentral's name for it is "bacterial SSU rRNA". It matches the Rfam family "Bacterial small subunit ribosomal RNA", at positions 355 to 896 of the family's 1533-position model. The record is from RNAcentral.